AUUGAACGCUGGCGGCAUGCCUUACACAUGCAAGUCGAACGGCAGCACGGGAGGCUUGCUCCUGGUGGCGAGUGGCGAACGGGUGAGUAAUACAUCGGAACGUACCCUGAAGUGGGGGAUAACGUAGCGAAAGUUACGCUAAUACCGCAUAUUCUGUGAGCAGGAAAGAGGGGGAUCGCAAGACCUCUUGCUUUAGGAGCGGCCGAUGUCGGAUUAGCUAGUUGGUGAGGUAAAGGCUCACCAAGGCGACGAUCCGUAGCGGGUCUGAGAGGAUGAUCCGCCACACUGGGACUGAGACACGGCCCAGACUCCUACGGGAGGCAGCAGUGGGGAAUUUUGGACAAUGGCGCAAGCCUGAUCCAGCCAUGCCGCGUGAGUGAAGAAGGCCU
RNAcentral lists this ribosomal RNA (389 nucleotides) under uncultured bacterium. RNAcentral's name for it is "bacterial SSU rRNA". It matches the Rfam family "Bacterial small subunit ribosomal RNA", at positions 30 to 417 of the family's 1533-position model. The record is from RNAcentral.